Molecule: long non-coding RNA, 867 nt
Filed under: Neodiprion lecontei (redheaded pine sawfly)
Lineage: Eukaryota; Metazoa; Arthropoda; Insecta; Hymenoptera; Diprionidae
Description: uncharacterized LOC124294230, transcript variant X1
Source: RNAcentral
CAAAACGUAAACGAAACUACUAAAUUCCAACAGCUAGCCGUGUCUGACAAUUACGAGACAUGUACCGAAUGUGACCCGCUGACUGCACAGCUAAAUUUCGUAAGAUUUCUCGGCGCGCGUUCAAGUCCCCAAACGGGCCCAUCGAGUUAGUCAGGGCAGGGAUUUCGGGACCACUUUGCAGGCAUGAGUUUGUCGAUCAGUUUCUAUCGCGGCGCGUCGUUCGCGGUACCUACAUACGAAAUGCCUUUCGACGAAUCGCUGUCGCGACAAAUAUUCGAGAACACAAAUUUAAGGAGGAGAUUUUAUCUCGGAUCUCCCGAAUCAGUGUCGACGCUCGUAUUUCACGUUACGCAAACAAAAUUUACCUGCAGAACUGCAGUCAACGACUUGUUAUACCUGUUUCGAGUAAAGCCAAACUUCGGACGCUGGAGUUACGAGGUUGAAAUUGAAAACUUGACCCGACGCAAUAUUGACAAAAGACAUACUGUGUCCGGUAUGGUAAAUUACACGUUAUUGACCGUGUAGGCAACCGCGUGGGCUCCGUUCAACCGUAAAUCACGAUCAAGCAUAACUGCGUCCAUGGAAUUUCAACAAGUUCCAUCGCGUUCACACGGAACCGUGGCGACACGAUGCGAUGGAUGGAAAAAAGCGCGGGUAUUUCAAGAAGCCGAGUGGCGCGCGUCGCUUUGCGAACCGCGCGAUUCGAACGGGCUGAAAACGAAGACGCGUACUGAAACCGCACCUCACUGUUUGUUUCACAGGUAUUAACAGAUCCAGCGAUAACGCGUACAGCACGAAAUAUGUAUGUAUAUAAAGUGUACGUUGAAUUGAAAUAAAAGAAACUUGUUCUAUAUAAAUAUUAUAUUU